RNAcentral lists this ribosomal RNA (301 nucleotides) under uncultured bacterium. RNAcentral describes it as "partial 16S ribosomal RNA". It matches the Rfam family "Bacterial small subunit ribosomal RNA", at positions 509 to 807 of the family's 1533-position model. The record is from RNAcentral.
CAGUAGCCGCGGGAAUACGGAGGAGGCUAGCGUUGUUCGGAAUUACUGGGCGUAAAGCGCACGUAGGCGGCUUGGUAAGUUAGAGGUGAAAGCCUGGAGCUCAACUCCAGAAUUGCCUUCAAGACUGCCGAGCUAGCAGGUGAGAGAGGUAAGUGGAAUUCCGAGUGUAGAGGUGAAAUUCGUAGAUAUUCGGAAGAACACCAGUGGCGAAGGCGGCUUACUGGCUCAUACUGGACGCUGAGGUGCGAAAGCGUGGGGAGCAAACAGGAUUAGAUACCCCGGUAGUCCCUGUCUCUUAUAC